AAAGGUGAAAUUGGUUGUUAUAAAGCAAACUGUAAAUAUAAAUUGAAGCUAAAAAAAUUAGAAAUAAACCAGGAUUAGAUACCCUGUUAUACUAAAUAAAAACGAUUUAAACCGAAUUAUUAAAAGAUACAUUCUUAAAACUUUAAGAUUUGGCGGUAACUUAGUCUAGUUGGAGGAACCUGUUUUUUAAUCGAUAAACCACGUUAGUUCUUACUUGAGCUUGUAUACCGUCAUUAUCAGAUAAUUUUUAGAGAAAAUUAUUAUAAUUUAUACUAUAAAAAAAAUUAGAUCAAGGUGCAGCCUAUAAAUAAGUUAAAAUGGGUUACAAUAAAUAAUAUUUAUACGAAUUAAGGAAUAUAAAGGAGGAUUCAAUUGUAACUAAUUUUCAAAUAUUUAGUUGAUAUUAGCACUAAGUUAUGUACAUAUUGCCCGUCGCUUUC
This 440-nucleotide ribosomal RNA is filed under the name Arcania cornuta. RNAcentral's name for it is "partial 12S small subunit ribosomal RNA". Lineage: Eukaryota; Metazoa; Arthropoda; Malacostraca; Decapoda; Leucosiidae. The record is from RNAcentral.